This 5014-nucleotide long non-coding RNA is filed under the name Gallus gallus (chicken). RNAcentral describes it as "lncRNA (ENSGALG00010026103.1)". Lineage: Eukaryota; Metazoa; Chordata; Aves; Galliformes; Phasianidae. The record is from RNAcentral.
CUGCUUGGCUCUGCAUCUGCAAAUAUUGCCACCCGGCUGCAACGCCACUGAUCAUCGCUCACAGCUUUGCAAUCUGCUCUGGUCUGUGAUGGGCCUGCAAAUGUUAGCAUAUGUUUGUCAGAGAUAAUCAGGCCACCUGUGUGCACGGUGGCUCUGUCGUCUCUUGUUGGAGGGCUUUCCACCUUCCUCUUGGCAUGCGGUGCCUUUUCCACUGUCUCUAGAAAUAACUGACUUGUCUUGGUCGUUUUCUGCGUCUGUUUGCCGUGGUGCUGCCCAGCAGCCCUGCCACCACCCCAAGGCGCUGACCUAAAGGAAUGCUCUUCUUUCUCUCUUCUGUUUCUAUCACACAGCUUCUCUAGAUUUGCUCGUUGCUCUUCUUGCUCUCCUAUGCUGCUCACCUGGUGGCUUUUUCCCCCUUCCUUCUGCACGUUCACAAUAUGUUAUCUGUGUGGGUAGGAAGUGGUCUGAGCUGCAGCUCCUCUGCAUCUGCACGUCCCAAAGCUGCUUCUGCAAACCAUUUGGGGUUUUGGUUCUGUCCCACCAUGGCUUGCUGCCACUCUGGUCUCCCCAACAGGAACUUCAGGCUGGCGGUGUCCCCUGUGUCCCGCUCCCAACUUCCAGAGCACAGCCUUCAGCUCCUGCCUGUCACCACAGACACGUCUGUGCUAAGCAUGGGGAAAUGUUCUGUUUUGCAUACUUGCUUGCUCUGAACGUGGGGGGAAGGAUCCUUGUCUUUGAGCCAUGUGUUCCAACCCUUCCUUCAGGUUCUGUUUCUCAGUGUGUGCAUACCAGAGGGGCAGGACGGGUGCUCACAGCCUCCCUGUAUCACCGAGGACAGCUGGACACCCAUCUCCUGGCACCCACCUCCCAGCCCUCCUGCUGCAGGCAGCUCCAGCAGAUGUUCCCCUCUGCCUGCCCUGCAGGCUGCAGAGCGGUGCCUGGCACACCCCAGUGAGGGAUCCCCCCGCCACCCAGUUCCUCCACAGCAAAACUGUAGUUAUUUUCACACUUGUGAAACCAGCCUUGCUUCUUGCAGGUCCGGCAGCCCGCAGGUAGGAUGCUGGUUUAGCCUUGUUGCCAUCACUUGCGUGCUCCUUCUCACAGCUUCCUGCUUUUCACUCAGUUUGGGUUUUGCAAACACUUCCCUGUCCUGUUCCACUGCUGUGGUGUCACCCUGUCCUCCCACCCUUACCCUAACCCCUCUGCGUGCCUCCUGCUGUCUCUUGCCACGUUCUAGCAUUGCCUUCAUUCCUGUUACACUGCUAAGCCUGUUGCAGCCUGGUGAGGGGUUCCCCCGACCUUCAGAGGAGUGCAGUCACUUCAGUGCUGUACUGUGCAGAGCAGCUCCCUCACAAGUAAGCAGCAUACGGUGAGAACAUCCUGCAGCUACUUCUUUUCAGGCCAGCAUUGCGCAACAUCGUGUCACUGAUUAACACAGAUAGGAGUAAAUGCAUUUUCAUAAAUGCAAAGCACCGUUGUUCAUUUAAAGGAAAGAAGGAGUCAUGGGGUGAUGUGACAUCCCUGUGUGUCAUCGGUAGUUCUGUUGUGUGCCUGCAGUUGCAGUGGAACCAGUUCAGCUGGAAUGAUGCUGGUCAUCCAUGGCUGAGGAUUUGGUUCCUGAGUGCAUGGAUGGUCCCACCCAGUUCUGCCCAUGCUGUAAACAGCAGGAAAAGCUGCAAAAAAGACGUACUUUGUGGAAACACAGAGGAAUGGCAUACACCUCAGCCUUUUGAAGUCUGUUGGCUUGUUUCUAGUUCACUAAAAAGGAGGUAAACAAUGACUUCGUUUCUUGAAAGAAAGGAGAGGGCUGGUAGGAGACUGGGCAUAGAUGGAGGCAGUGCUGGCACCCCUGGGCAGGGAAGGCAGGGUGGUAGCAAUGGGGGAGGAAAAGAAGCAGUGUGGCAUUAGAUGUGAUAUCUUGAGAGGUUUCUCAGCCUCCCUGCAUCCGGUCAGCUCAGCCAGGCUCCUACAUCUCUGCAGACACAUGCACCAGCUGCAGGAUUUCAUAAGUUGGUGGCAGUGCUGCCAACCCAAAUAAUCCUUCAGUGAGCCCUUUGUGUUACAGCACAGAGCAGUGAGAGUAGCUCUGUUUGCAUAUCACCGAUGGCAGCUGCCGACAGCUGGACGAAGUGCCAUCACUGCCACAGCACAGAGCCAUUCCCCUUCCUGUGGAAGAUGUAUACCCAAGAAUCUUCAGAAGAUGGCCACCGACUUUGUUGUCCCAAAGGAACGUUAUCCCAAAAGAUGUGGGUACCACUAACCCUGCUAGUCUGAAGAACUGUGGAUGUGUGGGAAAUAAAACAUAGCCCUGCAAGGAAGCGUUUCUUGCCACGGGCCUGGGCUGGAGAACGCUUCUCUCAUCCAAGGGAAUCCCUCCUGCUCAUCCCUGAGCUCCCAGGCUGCUGGCUGUGACCCAGGGAUGAUCUCCUCCUCCAGCAGUGUGGCUGUGGGACGUCUGGCCUUCAGGAAAUGAGCUUGUAAAGAAUUAACUGCAGGUCCUUGUGGAGAAAUACGGGUCCUCAUGGAGAAGUACAUCCUCCGUGUCCCUGCGUGCUCCUGACAGCUUGCCCAGGAACACCUGAGCUGUGCUCAGUGUUAGCCCAGCCACUUUACAGCUUGCAGCGUGGACAGGACUGGAGUUCUCUUCCAGCAAGAUGCUGCUGCUGCAGCAGCAGAUAUUUAAAGAUGUUGCGGUUGCACUGUGAACUUAACCUCCUGACAAAGUGGUUUUCAGCUGCUGGCAGGUUCUGUAGCAGCAGCAAAGGCCUCAUGUUCCCCACAUGCUGUAGUGCAGCCUGUGGGACUCCAAGAGCUGCCUUUUCAUCAGGAGAGGAUGUCCUUGUUUGCUGGGUUAUCAGAGCUGAUGGGCUUUUCUGACCUUAAGCGAGAUGAUCACAAGAGGCUGGGGGAGAUAAGUCAUUCACAUAGUCUGGUUUUGUUAAGCUUUAAAGUAUACAGGUUCCUCUUUGCCCAUUUUCUUUCCCAUUUUCUACUUGCAAGGAGCCAAAGCCAGCGGCAGCAUACAUCACCCUGUUGGGAUGCCGUUCACAGGGAUUGUCUGGGUGUUAAUUGCCUAGAUGUGGACACUCACCUGUGUGAAGACAACAAAGGAAAUGAUGACUGCAGCUGGACGUGCACUGGUUUUACAUGAACUGAAGCAUGGCAUGAGAAGCAAGGCUGGGGCUGCUCUCACCUGCCUGCUGCUGAAUGCAUUCCUCUGCUGAGCUGCCAGCAAGCCCAGUUCCAGCCCUCAUUCUGCUCCAACUGACAGGAGUAAGGUGCCAGCCUGCACCCACCACCUGCGAGGGCAGAAGGUGAGGAAAAUGUGUCUGACAGGCUCUGUGCUGAGCCCUUCCCUAGGCAGAAUCCUGGCCUCGAGUGAGAUUUUAUUUCCUUGUGCUGCAACCCAGUGACACAGAAUUUUCCAGCAAAACAAAAAGGGAUCCGCCUUUUAUUUUUGAUUUAGCUGGGGCUGUGUGUAGACUUGCAUGUGUAAUGUUGACUGCAAGUGCAAUUUGAGACAACCGAACCUUCCUAGCUGUUGCUGGGUAUAUGCAGUGUGCCAGCAGAGAUUAAAGAUCCUCCCCAUGGCUGUUGCUGCCCAGGGUCUGCCAUUUCUCCACCCAUUAAAUGUGCCACAUUUUUUAUUGAAUGCUUACACCACAACACUGAGAGGAAACAAAUACAAAACGGGCACAAUGAAUCAUGGCUCUCAUAGCCUCCGUUGGCCCCAGGAGGUGGAUCAGGCUGGCCAAGGAGGAAACGCAUUGGCUUAACUGCUGUUUUUUCUUCACUUUUGCCCAGAAAGUGUACCCAUGGGAAUGCGGACAGUAGGAAGCAUCUUGUUCUUAUGAGAUCCAGGAUGCAGCAGGGAGCUGGCACCGUGCCUGGGACAAACUCUGUUUCUUUAGGGCAAAAACUCAGCCAUUGGGGUACAUGAGUCAACAGUGGCAGCCUCCUAUGGGAGCAGUGUGGGACAUGGAGGCUAUGGGAGAUGUGUGGAUGUGCCGUGCCAGCAGGGAUGGUGGAGCUCGGUGUUGUGACCCACGGGGACAAGCUGGGCGGACUGGCGCUGCCAAAUGCAGAGGGAAGCAAGGGAGGUGAAUAAAGCUUUCAGUAUAUAACAGACUGCCACAGUGUACAACAAUAAACUGCUCUUCGUGCCCUUUGGGGACAGAGAAGAAAUUACACUAACAGAGAUUUUGGAAAGACGGUGGGAGAAGCUCUCCAAGCGCAGGGUGAUUCAGCCCUGGCAAAGGCGCGGGUUGCGACGUGCCCAUCAGCGGCUGCUGGCAGGGCUGGGCUGCGCGGGGCAGCGAGGGUGGACAAGGGGGAUUUGGGGUGGGAGGGUCUUCCGAACUCCCGUUUCCGUAGCUGCUUUCGCUGCCCUGAGGCCAGACCCUUCAGGAGAGGUUUCCUGCUGUUGCACGAAGUGCGGCCACCUGUGCAGGUCCACGCGGUGGCAGCUCGGUGUUCCUCGAGCUGUGAAAGCUUUGAACAAAGGAAUUGAAGAUAGGACUGAAUAUAAACAGGACUCGGGACCACCUCGAUAUGUCUCCCCAAGGAGUUCUCGAGGAAGGUUUUGGAGUUCGCUAAGAGCACGUUCCUCUUCCAGCAGGGCAGAUAAAGGAGCGCCUGCUCCCCCGCGGUCACCCUGCCAUUGCUGCGCUGCUGCGGCGCGGGAGGACGGCCCCAACAAAGGGCUGGCACGGCUUUGUUCCGCUAAGGCGCGCGGCACAAGGUAGGGAUGGAGCCAGGCGAGGCAGCUCCCUGCAUCCCCCGCAGCCGUCCCGGCUGCCCCCGGGCAGGGUGGGGAAGGUGGGUGAGGUUACCCGCGGAGCGGAUCGCUUCCGUUCAUCUUCCCGUUCUGUAACGCUUCCAAGAACCGAGGAAGGCUUCGCUCUUCCUUGGGUGGUCCCCUUCCUUCCACUGGCAGCGUGGGGUGGAAGUCUGGGAGCGGCGGGAGGGGGGUGAGCGGUGCCGGGAGGCGGGGGCGGUGCAGCGUGCCGGCCGU